RNAcentral lists this small RNA (552 nucleotides) under Pongo abelii (Sumatran orangutan). RNAcentral's name for it is "retained intron". Lineage: Eukaryota; Metazoa; Chordata; Mammalia; Primates; Hominidae. The record is from RNAcentral.
UACAAGAAACAGCAAGCAAAUCAUUUGGUUUUGGCAGUUUGUGAAAGAGACAGACAAUGAAGUAAGAAUGCGACUAUUGCAGUUCGUCACUGGAACCUGCCGUUUACCUCUAGGAGGAUUUGCUGAGCUCAUGGGUAAAUGUAGUUUCACUGUAAUUUCUCUGUAGGUAAUUUUGUGAUAAUAAUGGCCUUUGGACAUGCAAUAGACUUGAACCUAAAGAUUACUCUUCUGUGCUGUAGGUAGGGCUUCAUUUAGAAGAAAGAAAAAUGAAUGGCUAAUAUCAAAGCACUCGUAAGACAAAAAUGAAUGUGUCCUCAUAUAGCUGAGGUGGCCAUUGCUUUACUCCCUAUGGUGACUGUGAAGGGAGCGACAUUCUGUAGAGAGAGUUUUCUUCCCACUGAUCUAAUUCUUAUUGCUGGAUCUCUGCAACAAUUUUGUUCAUCAGGCAGAAGCAGCUUACAUUGCAAAUUUCUUUAUUUUGUAUCAUUCAUAUGACUAUGCAACAUGUUCUAUUAUUUAAGCAGUUGUCAGAAGAAAAAAGUUUAAAGGACC